AUUGAACGCUGGCGGCGUGCUUAACACAUGCAAGUCGAUCGGUAACAGGUGUAGCAAUACAUGCUGACGAGAGGCGGACGGGUGAGUAAUGCUUGGGAAUCUGCCUAUUAGUGGGGGACAACCCGGGGAAACUCGGGCUAAUACCGCAUACGCUCUACGGAGGAAAGCCGGGGACCGCAAGGCCUGGCGCUAAUAGAUGAGCCCAAGUCGGAUUAGCUAGUUGGUAGGGUAC
This 232-nucleotide ribosomal RNA is filed under the name uncultured bacterium. RNAcentral describes it as "partial 16S ribosomal RNA". It matches the Rfam family "Bacterial small subunit ribosomal RNA", at positions 30 to 260 of the family's 1533-position model. The record is from RNAcentral.